RNAcentral lists this microRNA precursor (205 nucleotides) under Oryza sativa Indica Group (long-grained rice). RNAcentral describes it as "MIR812 microRNA precursor family". It matches the Rfam family "MIR812 microRNA precursor family". Lineage: Eukaryota; Viridiplantae; Streptophyta; Magnoliopsida; Poales; Poaceae. The record is from Rfam by way of RNAcentral.
AAAAAGACAAACCCUGGUUUCCGUGUCCAACGUUUGACCGUCCAUCUUAUUUGAAAAAAUUAUGAAAAAAAUUAAAAAAACAAGUCACGCAUAAAAUAUUAAUCAUGUUUUAUCAUCUAACAAUAAUGAAAAUAUGAAUUAUAAAAAAAUUUCAUAUAAGACGGACCGUUAAAGUUGGACACGAAAACCCAGGGUUUGCCUUUUU